UGCGUAGGGGGCGAGCGUUGUCCGGAUUUAUUGGGCGUAAAGAGCGUGUAGGCGGCCAGGUAGGUCUGCUGUGAAAACUCGAGGCUCAACCUCGAGACGUCGGCGGAAACCAUCUGGCUAGAGUCCGGAAGAGGAGAGUGGAAUUCCUGGUGUAGCGGUGAAAUGCGCAGAUAUCGGGAAGAACACCUAUGGCGAAGGCAGCUCUCUGGGACGGUACUGACGCUGAGACGCGAAAGCGUGGGGAGCAAACAGG
RNAcentral lists this ribosomal RNA (253 nucleotides) under uncultured bacterium. Its description in RNAcentral is "partial 16S ribosomal RNA". It matches the Rfam family "Bacterial small subunit ribosomal RNA", at positions 524 to 776 of the family's 1533-position model. The record is from RNAcentral.